This 71-nucleotide transfer RNA is filed under the name Patescibacteria group bacterium. RNAcentral's name for it is "tRNA-Gly". It matches the Rfam family "tRNA". From Rfam's summary of the family: Transfer RNA (tRNA) molecules are approximately 80 nucleotides in length. The record is from RNAcentral.
GCAGUCGUAGUAUAGUGGCAGUACGCGACAUUGCCAAUGUCGGAGCUAGGGUUCGAUUCCCUGCGACUGCA